RNAcentral lists this ribosomal RNA (34 nucleotides) under Curvularia spicifera. Its description in RNAcentral is "partial 28S ribosomal RNA". RNAcentral also lists the same sequence under 3 other names. The record is from RNAcentral. Lineage: Eukaryota; Fungi; Ascomycota; Dothideomycetes; Pleosporales; Pleosporaceae.
GUUUGACCUCGGAUCAGGUAGGGAUACCCGCUGA